This 94-nucleotide small RNA is filed under the name Chryseobacterium arachidis. RNAcentral's name for it is "Flavo-1 RNA". It matches the Rfam family "Flavo-1 RNA". Lineage: Bacteria; Pseudomonadati; Bacteroidota; Flavobacteriia; Flavobacteriales; Weeksellaceae. The record is from RNAcentral.
CCAUAGCCCCGAUUGCAGCGGCAUCCUUUUUUGUGGAGGCUGGAGUGAAACGGAAGCCGUAACAAAAAAGAUAUAGCGGAAAGCGGGAUUAAGC